GAUGAACGCUGGCGGCGUGCCUAAUACAUGCAAGUCGAGCGAACGGACGAGAAGCUUGCUUCUCUGAUGUUAGCGGCGGACGGGUGAGUAACACGUGGAUAACCUACCUAUAAGACUGGGAUAACUUCGGGAAACCGUAGCUAAUACCGGAUAAUAUUUUGAACCGCAUGGUUCAAAAGUGAAAGACGGUCUUGCUGUCACUUAUAGAUGGAUCCGCGCUGCAUUAGCUAGUUGGUAAGGUAACGGCUUACCAGGGCAACGAUGCAUAGCCGACCUGAGAGGGUGAUCGGCCACACUGGAAGUGAGACACGGUCCAGACUCCUACGGGAGGCAGCAGUAGGGAAUCUUCCGCAAUGGGCGAAAGCCUUACGGAGCAACGCCGCGUGAGUGAUGAAGGUCUUCGGAUCGUAAAACUCUGUUAUUAGGGAAGAACAUAUGUGUAAGUAACUGUGCACAUCUUGACGGUACCUAAUCAGAAAGCCACGGCUAACUACGUG
RNAcentral lists this ribosomal RNA (497 nucleotides) under uncultured bacterium. RNAcentral describes it as "partial 16S ribosomal RNA". It matches the Rfam family "Bacterial small subunit ribosomal RNA", at positions 28 to 507 of the family's 1533-position model. The record is from RNAcentral.